This is an RNA transcript of Carya illinoinensis, 2849 nucleotides long. It is a transcript of the gene named protein WHAT'S THIS FACTOR 9, mitochondrial, with no coding region annotated. Lineage: Eukaryota; Viridiplantae; Streptophyta; Magnoliopsida; Fagales; Juglandaceae. The record is from RefSeq and is a predicted model, not a curated record. The transcript has 3 exons.
CACGGAAACAAAGAACUUGUGUUUCCGUCGGGUUCUAUUCCUUCAAAAGACGGACAUCUGAAUCAUCACAGUCGCUGGCCGAAACACAAGUUCCCUGUAGAAUUCUUGUACCAAUCUGCCACUCCCCCAAUUCAAUGCAUUGUCCAUGAACCCAUCACAUCUUCAACGAAAGGGGCAGAGAAACUCAACCCUGAUAGCUUCCAAUACGACUACGCACGCCCCAAUCCUCGACUGUAAUUGCUUCCGCUGUCUCUCUCUCUUGGCGAUUUGAUUUUGCCUCUAUUACUGGUGAAUUAUAUGCAGAAAUGUAUAGCUUUAUGUAUAAAUUUCUUGCUUUCUUGAAUGAAUUUGGGGUUUAGUUGAUGCUACCAUUUUUCUCUAUUGCCGAUUCAGAUUGUUUGCUUCUCCUCCUCCUCCUCAAAUUACUGCCUAUGUAUGGUUUAUGUGGUUCAGAAGUCUGAAUUUCUGAAGUUUUCUGUUCCUAAGAAUUCGAAUUAUCUGCAUAUAUACAGUUAAUGGUCGCCCGGUUCGGUUGAACAAAUCCUGGGUGCUCCAUUUUUUAGCAUCUUUUUCCUUUCCAGUUAAUCAUAGUGAAACUAGUCUAUGCUACAGUGAAGGCAAUCCAUGGUUCUUAAUAUCAUUAGGAGAAAAUGGUGCACUGGAUGUUUUUGGGUUGGGCUGGAGGGUCAGGUUUUCUCUUUUGGAUGCCAGCAAGGAUUUAAUUACCAGCAGAGAUGUGGUUUGGUGAAUGUAAAACUGAAAUGGGUGAAAGAUAGAGCACUUGAUGCUGUUGUGUCUGGUGAAAGGGAUCUCAGAGCAGCUUGCAUUCUUGUUUCCAUGAUCUCUUCUUCGCCCCAUUCUUGUGUUCCCAUAUACCACCUCUCUCGCUAUCGCGGACAGCUUGGUCUAGCCCAUGAUCUUAAGCUCUCCACCUUUAUUAGGAGAUACCCUACUGUUUUUCAGGAGUCUCAUAGUCUUGAUGGUGGAGGCACUCAUGUCCCUUGUUUUGGCUUGACUCAUGAAGCAGUAAAACUCCACCAAGAAGAGCUCAAUAUUAUUGAGAAGAAUCAAGUGGAUCUUGUCAAUAGGCUCUGCAAACUGCUCAUGCUUACCAGAGACCGGACCCUGCCUUUGCAAACUAUUGACCAGCUGAAAUGGGACUUGGGUUUGCCGAAUGAUUACCAUUAUUCCUUGAUUCCACAUCACUGCAGAUUUUUCUCUUUGGUCACCCUCCCUGACAAGCGUGAUGGCUUGAAGCUUUUAUCCUGGGAUAAUGAUCUUGCUGUCUCACAAUUGCAAAAAAAUGCUGCUCUUCAACAGAAUGAAAACGAUGUUAAAAAUGGCUGCUUAGAAUUUCCAAUUGGAUUUACAAGGGGUUUUGGGUUAAGAAGGAAAUCCAUGGAGUGGUUGAAAGAGUGGCAAAGGCUCCCUUAUACUUCUCCGUAUUCCGAUGCCUCCCUUCUGGAUUCCCGCACAGAUGUCUCUGAGAAGAGGAUUGUUGGAGUCUUUCAUGAGCUUCUUCACCUAACCAUAGAGAAGAAAACUGAGCGUAAGAAUGUGAGCAACCUCCGAAAGCCACUGGCUCUGCCUCAGAAGUUCACUAAAGUGUUUGAGCGCCAUCCUGGUAUAUUUUACAUCUCUAAGAAGAAUGACACUCAGACUGUAGUUUUAAGGGAAGCCUAUGACCAUCAGCAACUCUUGCAUAGGCACCCUCUUGUAGAAAUCAGGGAAAGAUUUGGUAGCAUGAUGAGGACAGGGCUGCUGGAGAGGAGCAGAGGGUUUUACAAGAGAAGUGCAGGUGCUGGCAUAGAACAGGAUCGAUCAGAUGAUGUUUAUGUUGAUGAAAUGGAUGAUACUCAGCGUAGUUCUGAAGAGGAGUCAGACUGUAAGUUGUUUUCUGACUAUGAUUCAGAUGACCCUAUACAUGAACCGUGUUGAGUUCUGACAAUGCAUUCAGCACCAAUGAAUUGUUGGGAGUUUAAAAUUAUUCAAGCCCAACGUGAGCAAAUACUUCUCCAGUUAUUGUUCAAAAUUGGCAGUACGAUUUGAGAGCAAAUCCCUGUUUUCAUGUGGUACCCGAUUGAACAUUGCAGUUUUUAAUAAUGCAGUCAUUCCUCAAUCAAUUGAAUUUUGUUGACCAAAUUUAUGUGCUAUAUGCCUAUCAUCUGCCACUUCUCAUAGAUUGAUUCUCUGACAAGGAAAUGGAUAAGACUUAUGAUUGCUUGUUGAGGUUAAAAGUGGGAAGCUGCUCUGAAAUAUAGAAAGCUCAGCCACUAACGUUGUUCCAGAUGGAAGAGUAACAGAACUCUACUGAGGGUAGUAAUGUUCCCCAGAUAUCUUGUAAGAUCCAUGCAAGCAACAAACUUGAUAUUGGGAUGCUUCACGUAAGAGGAUCAAAUCCGUGAUAACUUUGUUUGACAUUUAGAGGAAGCAUGUAGCAACUCGUCUUGGCCAGAAUAUGAUUAGGAUUUCAGGGGAAUCCUCCCCUGGACCCCCAGUUUCAUGGGGCACAUCCUCCCGAACCCCCUACAAGAAGACCUACUCGGCCUGAAAAACAGUAAGUAUUUCAGGCCAAGUAGGGAGAAGAUACUAAUAUUACAAAGCCAAUUCCUGAAAGUAUGGAGUAUUGAUGAAGUGAUACUUUAGCUCUAUUAUAUGGGUGUCGUAUCAUUAAAAUUGUAUAUAUGAUAGCUUUUAAUGAUAUGAUAUAUUGUGAUAGAAUGAGAAUAAUGAUGCCCGCAUGCUAAACUAUCUAAGAAUUACUCUGGUCUUGUGCGUUUGAUAGGCGUCUCUAUUCUCUUGUAGUAUCUCCUACUUUUUAUAGUGUCUUGCUCAAUGUGAGCUCAGCA